GACGAACGCUGGCGGCGUACUUAACACAUGCAAGUCGAACGGAAAGGCCCAGCUUGCUGGGUACUCGAGUGGCGAACGGGUGAGUAACACGUGGGUGAUCUGCCCUGGACUCUGGGAUAAGCCUGGGAAACUGGGUCUAAUACCGGAUAUGACCUUACAUCGCAUGGUGUUUGGUGGAAAGCUUUUGCGGUUCAGGAUGGGCCCGCGGCCUAUCAGCUUGUUGGUGGGGUAAUGGCCUACCAAGGCGACGACGGGUAGCCGACCUGAGAGGGUGAUCGGCCACACUGGGACUGAGACACGGCCCAGACUCCUACGGGAGGCAGCAGUGGGGAAUAUUGCACAAUGGGCGCAAGCCUGAUGCAGCGACGCCGCGUGAGGGAUGACGGCCUUCGGGUUGUAAACCUCUUUCACCAGGGACGAAGCGUGAGUGACGGUACCUGGAGAAGAAGCACCGGCCAACUACGUG
Molecule: ribosomal RNA, 466 nt
Filed under: uncultured bacterium
Lineage: Bacteria
Description: partial 16S ribosomal RNA
Rfam family: Bacterial small subunit ribosomal RNA
Source: RNAcentral